RNAcentral lists this transfer RNA (73 nucleotides) under Stylophora pistillata. RNAcentral describes it as "tRNA-Ala". It matches the Rfam family "tRNA". Rfam says of the family: Transfer RNA (tRNA) molecules are approximately 80 nucleotides in length. Their secondary structure includes four short double-helical elements and three loops (D, anti-codon, and T loops). Lineage: Eukaryota; Metazoa; Cnidaria; Anthozoa; Scleractinia; Pocilloporidae. The record is from Rfam by way of RNAcentral.
GGCUUGUUAGCUCAGUUGGUAGAGCACUGCACCAGCAUUGCAGAAGUCAUGGGUUUGAAUCCUGUACAGGCCU